Molecule: ribosomal RNA, 750 nt
Filed under: uncultured Flavobacteriia bacterium
Lineage: Bacteria; Pseudomonadati; Bacteroidota; Flavobacteriia
Description: bacterial SSU rRNA
Rfam family: Bacterial small subunit ribosomal RNA
Source: RNAcentral
GAUGAACGCAUAGCGGCAGGCCUAACACAUGCAAGUCGAGGGGUAACAGGGAGUGCUUGCACUCUGCUGACGACCGGCGCACGGGUGCGGAACGCGUAUGGAACCUGCCCCUGUCAGGGGAAUAGCCCAGAGAAAUUUGGAUUAAUGCCCCAUGGUAUCGUACCACCGCAUGGUGGUUUGAUUAAAGAUUUAUCGGACAGGGAUGGCCAUGCGUACCAUUAGCUAGUUGGUGAGGUAACGGCUCACCAAAGCAACGAUGGUUAGGGGCCCUGAGAGGGGGAUCCCCCACACUGGUACUGAGACACGGACCAGACUCCUACGGGAGGCAGCAGUGAGGAAUAUUGGACAAUGGCCGAAAGGUUGAUCCAGCCAUGCCGCGUGCAGGGUGACGGCCCUAUGGGUUGUAAACUGCUUUUACAUGGGAAGAAACCUCCCCUCGUGAGGGGAGCUGACGGUACCAUGAGAAUAAGGACCGGCUAACUCCGUGCCAGCAGCCGCGGUAAUACGGAGGGUCCGAGCGUUAUCCGGAAUCAUUGGGUUUAAAGGGUCCGUAGGCGGGCCUAUAAGUCAGGGGUGAAAGGCCACGGCUCAACCGUGGGACUGCCCUUGAUACUGUAGGUCUUGAGUUAUAGUGGGGUUGCCGGAACAUGUGGUGUAGCGGUGAAAUGCAUAGAUAUCACAUAGAACACCGAUCGCGAAGGCAGGUGACCAACUAUAUACUGACGCUGAUGGACGAAAGCGUGGGUAGCG